UGAGUUUUAUGAGAUCAAUAUAAUUUCAGCAUUGUGCUACCAAGUUCAAUUCUUGUCAACCUUGUGUUGUGGUGAAUUACCUUCAAGACUUAUCACUUACCUUUGCUUGGGAGUGUGCUGUCUACCUUGUUCUUGUCUUCUUAUGGGGUGUCAACUUAUCAAGGAGCCUAAAUCAAGUCUAUCUUUUGUUCUUAUUUUCUGUGGCGUGUUACUUAUCAAAGGAGCAAGU
RNAcentral lists this unclassified non-coding RNA (229 nucleotides) under Hevea brasiliensis (rubber tree). The record is from RNAcentral. Lineage: Eukaryota; Viridiplantae; Streptophyta; Magnoliopsida; Malpighiales; Euphorbiaceae.